GACGAACGCUGGCGGCGUGCCUAAUACAUGCAAGUAGAACGCUGAAGAGAGGAGCUUGCUCUUCUUGGAUGAGUUGCGAACGGGUGAGUAACGCGUAGGUAACCUGCCUGGUAGCGGGGGAUAACUAUUGGAAACGAUAGCUAAUACCGCAUGAUAUUAAUUGUCGCAUGAUAAUUAAUUGAAAGAUGCAAUUGCAUCACUACCAGAUGGACCUGCGUUGUAUUAGCUAGUUGGUGAGGUAACGGCUCACCAAGGCGACGAUACAUAGCCGACCUGAGAGGGUGAUCGGCCACACUGGGACUGAGACACGGCCCAGACUCCUACGGGAGGCAGCAGUAGGGAAUCUUCGGCAAUGGGGGGAACCCUGACCGAGCAACGCCGCGUGAGUGAAGAAGGUUUUCGGAUCGUAAAGCUCUGUUGUAAGAGAAGAACGGGUGUGAGAGUGGAAAGUUCACACUGUGACGGUAUCUUACCAGAAAGGGACGGCUAACUACGUGCCAGCAGCCGCGGUAAUACGUAGGUCCCGAGCGUUGUCCGGAUUUAUUGGGCGUAAAGCGAGCGCAGGCGGUUAGAUAAGUCUGAAGUUAAAGGCUGUGGCUUAACCAUAGUAUGCUUUGGAAACUGUUUAACUUGAGUGCAGAAGGGGAGAGUGGAAUUCCAUGUGUAGCGGUGAAAUGCGUAGAUAUAUGGAGGAACACCGGUGGCGAAAGCGGCUCUCUGGUCUGUAACUGGCGCUGAGGCUCGAAAGCGUGGGGAGCAAACAGG
This 765-nucleotide ribosomal RNA is filed under the name uncultured Streptococcus sp. Its description in RNAcentral is "bacterial SSU rRNA". It matches the Rfam family "Bacterial small subunit ribosomal RNA", at positions 28 to 776 of the family's 1533-position model. Lineage: Bacteria; Bacillati; Bacillota; Bacilli; Lactobacillales; Streptococcaceae. The record is from RNAcentral.